Molecule: non-coding RNA, 3527 nt
Organism: Manis javanica (Malayan pangolin)
Lineage: Eukaryota; Metazoa; Chordata; Mammalia; Pholidota; Manidae
Source: RefSeq, a predicted model, not a curated record
UGUGCGGGAGUGCACAGCUCUAGACAGCGGGGUCGUAACUCUAACCCAGUCUUACAACACCAAGCCCAUUUUUUCCCCCACUACAGUGGGCUGUGAACCUUGAAAGCCAAGAAAGGGCUCAAGGGGUGGCUAGCGGUUUUGCUAUAGAGAAAACCGCAACUAUACUCAACUUGUUUACACCCAGAUGCUGGGACCGCGAGAAAGCAAGCUUCCACCAGAUCUCAAAGAAGCAAUGGAAUUUGAACAAAAAGAAAAAGAGAGGCGGGGAGAAAUGGCGGGAGCGAAGGCAAAGAGGGGGAGGAAGCAGAAGGCAUCCGAGGCAGAUGGUGGGGGCGACCGUGCAGAGGAGCCGCAAGGGGAAGGCGAAUGGGAGGGGAGCAGUGUAGGACCCAACGCUGCGCGAGCCUGGGAUCCGAAGCUGAAGGCUGUGAAGACAGCGUGAGCAGAGAGGAGUUGGAGGCUGGCAGGCGCCUGUGAAGGACCAGAUGGGGAGGGGCGCACGUAGGACAAGCCGAGGUCACCCGCAGCUCCCAAGCCAGAGGGGCUGCUAAAAGAGGUCCAAUUGUUCCAGUAUCAUUUGUUGAAAAAACUAUCAUGGACCUAUCAAAUCACCUUGGUGCCUCUAAAAAUCAACUAACUAUGACAGACAGGGGCGGGGUUGACCAUGAGAAUGUGCUCCACUCACAGGGGCGAGCAGCCCUCCCUGAUGGUCUCAGCCAGAAGUUUGCAGCAGAAAGAAUGCUGAGAGCCUCUGGUGGGCCCAGAAGACAGACAGAGUUUGAAGACCCCUCUGUGAGAUGGGAUUUGACCCAUCAACAACCAGCAACAUGAACUGAGUCUGUAACUGGAUGCCACCUCCUUGAUGUCCACGGGAUUUAUUCACUCCUUUCUACCUGGCCUGACAAUUCCCUGCCAUCAUUUUUGCCUGGAUGAUGCACAGACACCUAACUGGCCUCCCUGUUCCACACCGGCUCCUGGGAACCACCCAGAAGCCAAAGGCAUCUUUCUAAGAUGCACAGCCAACAUUGUCACUUGCGUACUUACCACCCUCCAAUGGCUGUGGCCUACCAAACAAAUCCAAACGGUGUAGCAGAGCCCACAAAAGCUCCGCCUCUCAUUCCACCAGCCCUUUCAAUCCAGCCUCACAGGACUGGUCGUGGUUCGCCAGCGUGUUCACCCACCACACCCUGAUCACGUGCCUUGCUCCCUCUGCUGCAGUGAGUUUCCCUUUACUCAGCCACUUCCCACCCACACUGAUCCACCUGACAAAGAUGAUCAGCCUGCAAGUGUCUGUACUCAAAGCCCAGCUCAAGAAUCUCUGUGAAGAAUUUGCCAAGUGCCAACACAGCAACAGUGCCCUCUCCUUCAUCAUUUGCUUUCUCCUUCGAUCCCUCUGGCCACACCUCAAGUCACAAGACCAGCUUCUCUUCUCUAGGGGAAGGAAAGCAAGUCAUCUCCCACCCCAGGCAGCAGCGCUGAGCACCCCCUCCAGCUCCCCAUGCAUGCGGGGGCACUGGGUGGGGUGAGAGGCCAGCUCUCCUGCGGAGGGGCCUCUGCUCCUUCCCAGCCUUGUCAAACCGCAUCACUUCCCAGGCCGCUUCUCUGCUUCCUUCUUCCACGUCCCUGUUUUGAGUUCACACUUGGGGACCAGCCCCAAAGACUCACCAACACCACCCAAAGACCCAGGUGCUGCAGACCAGUGGGAUACCUCGUGGGAGAGCUUCCACAGGAGACAGCCCUGCCCAGCCCCACCCCAGGAGGAGCCCAUGGAGCAGAUGCUCACAGAAAUACUCCUGUGUCACCUUCCACUUUGCCACACACGUGGCCCAGAGAAUCCACCAAGGAGGAGGAGAAGAAGCCUGAAUCGUAGAGAAGGAGGACAGCCAAGAGAGCAUGAUAGGAAGAAGCCAGCGAGGAAAGGUGGUGUCAAGUAGUACACAAUGCUCUUACAGGCAGGUCUGCCGGAUAGACUUCACAGGCACAGCCUUGAGGACAGUGAAUCAGAAGGAGUAUCGUCACCCCUGAUUUUGCCCAAGUGGCAUCCAGGCUGUAGCCUUGUAAACUCUUUAAAAAUCCUUAUGACAAUACCUCUUUUCUGUAGAAGGUUGAUCCUGUGAAGUGGAAGUCUGCCUGGCAAGCAGCCUGACAGGUUUGGGUGUGUGUGCUUGCAGGCUGGAGGGGCUGAGAGCUGGGACUGCUCGGCAACAUAGAAAGGAGGGAGGGGGAGAACAUCGGGAAAGGAAAGGAAAGGAGAAGCAAACCCAGUAAGUGGAGGAAGGCUGGGCAGUUGGGGGUGAGGAAGUGGGUCAGAAUUCUAAAUAAAGAAAGACCACUGCAGGAAUCUGUAUCACGUGCUGGGUGACCCUCAACGUGGCCCCUCCCUGGGUGGGUGGAGGAGUCUGCCCUGUUCACAGAUCUUCGUGUGUGCGGAUCUCUUGAGUGUGGAGAUGGAGCAAUGAGUCAUGUGGGAUGAAAGAGGGAGAGGGUUCCUGGGUCUGCACCUUGAGAGCAUGGGGCCCCUCAGGGGUCCGUGGCGUUCUUCAGAGAGGUGGAGGGGAAUUCAGAAUGGGGAUUUAAGACAUUCUGUUCUGGAUCUUAGGCACCUUCGGCUGACUUCUGGACCAUCUUGUUAAGUGCACAGCACCUAAUCUUAGAAAAAACUGUUCACUUUUCCAAACGCAUCCAAGCUCACUAGCGUGUCAUUUUCUCAAGAACAAAUGGAUAAGUGUGCAUAUCUACCACAGUAUGUAUGGAGCUUAACACUCGCUCUCGCACUUGGCCACAGACCACUGUCAUUCAAAGUUGUAAAGGCCACAGAGAUGACCCAGGGGACAUCCAUUUGGAGAUGGGCGAUGGAGACCAGAGAGGAAAGCAACUUUCUCAAGACCACACAGCAAAUGGGUGUAGAGCUUAUCUUUAUUUUUUUCCACCUCCAGGUUUGGGAAUUUUCUCCAAAGUGCCACAGCUGCUUGUGACUUAUGCGGAUGCCAAUUUGGGUCUGAGGGAGAUUCAGAGAGUCAGAGCAGGAGACAAGGAAGUCUUGUUCUCUAACUGAAUCUCCCAGGGCUGUAAGCUCCAAGCAAACACAUUCUUGAAUCUUUGCCAUGCAUUUAAGAGCAGAGCAGAAGAGUUAUAAAUGAGCUUUUUCUCUCUACAGAUAAGAGAAUCACAAAAUGUUAGGUCUGCAAGAGAUGGGUUAGAGAGGUGUUUCCCUGCCCAGACUCCUUCAGCCUAAGAAUCUGAAUUCUCUAUCCUGCACCUUUAGAGUUCCAUAGGCAAAGAACUAUAUUAACUUCUUCAACAAACACUAUAAAUAUUUUUAAAUGGUUUUUACUUCUUUUAUCAGAGAAAACAACAAGAGAGUCAUUAAGUGAUCUACAUUAAAUGUUUUGCAAAAUUCUAAUUUAUUUAACUCAUCAAGAAUCUAUUUCGUCAAGGAAUGGCCAAAUAUUCACAACCAUUGAAGCUGGAUUUUGAAUACAUGGGGGGGUUCCUUAUAUAUUCUCUUUUUAUUUAUGUUCUUAAAA